UUAGUUGCCAUCAUUCAGUUGGGCACUCUAGCGAGACUGCCGGUAAUAAACCGGAGGAAGGUAGGGGAUGACGUCAAAUCAUCAUGCCCCUUAUGACCUGGGCUACACACGUGCUACAAUGGUUCGGUACAACGAGUUGCGAGUCGGUGACGGCGAGCUAAUCUCUUAAGGCCAAUCUCAGUUCGGAUUGUAGGCUGCAACUCGCCUACAUGAAGUCGGAAUCGCUAGUAAUCGCGGAUCAGCACGCCGCGGUGAAUACGUUCCCGGGCCUU
RNAcentral lists this ribosomal RNA (272 nucleotides) under uncultured Streptococcus sp. RNAcentral describes it as "partial 16S ribosomal RNA". It matches the Rfam family "Bacterial small subunit ribosomal RNA", at positions 1111 to 1382 of the family's 1533-position model. The record is from RNAcentral. Lineage: Bacteria; Bacillati; Bacillota; Bacilli; Lactobacillales; Streptococcaceae.